Leclercia adecarboxylata is the source of this 139-nucleotide non-coding RNA. The record is from Rfam. Lineage: Bacteria; Pseudomonadati; Pseudomonadota; Gammaproteobacteria; Enterobacterales; Enterobacteriaceae.
AUAUUCUCCCGAAAGGGAGGGAUGAGAACCCUCGACUGAGGGUUCGACAACUGGCGAUAGCCAGUUGGACAGCCUGAGAGCGCAGCGAACAGGCUGCCCGCAGGGCGAGCGCAGCGAGUCCAUCCCUCCCUCACCGCCA